This 1455-nucleotide long non-coding RNA is filed under the name Sarcophilus harrisii (Tasmanian devil). RNAcentral's name for it is "lncRNA (ENSSHAG00000029877.1)". The record is from RNAcentral. Lineage: Eukaryota; Metazoa; Chordata; Mammalia; Dasyuromorphia; Dasyuridae.
GCAGCUCCCCGGCGGGAUCUCUCUAACCCCGUCUCCCUCCUGAGCUCUGAUCCUGCUCCUCCAGCUCCCGCGGAGCAUCUCCACCCCAGCGUGUCCAGAUUGACCCCGUUCCCUUUCUGCCGAGCCCUCCCUCCUUCCCCACAACUCUGGGGCUGUCCAGGGCUCCUGGGAUGGGGCCUUGGGGUCCACAGGUGCCCCACAGUGCAGGCAGGUGCCAGCCUUGCCAUUUCGACCCUCAGCACGAGAACGCGCCCCUUCUCUCGGGGCUCGCCCCCUCGGUCCUUCGGCCGGCCCCGCUGCCCUCGCUUCCCAAAGACACAUGGAUACAGUUACCUGGCGGCGCAAGGAAAAUCAAGUCAAACCGGGAACAAUGCAAGCAAACAACAGAGUGAGAGCGCCGUGUCGUGCAGCCCCUCUGGGGGCAGGCGGCUCUCCGGCCAAGCUCAUGGGUGAGUCACCUCGGGCUUGGGAAGAGCUGCGCCCGCCACAACUGAUGCUGCCGGGCACGAGGAUCUCCUGGUCCGGCUCCUUCCCCCGGCAUCGGGCCACAUUUCUCUGCUGCUCUCACUGGUGGCCGAGGGUCAGGAGGCCCCCGACCCAAACAGGCCGCGUUUCCCUUCUCAUUUGCUCUUUCCGCUCUCAAUGCAAGGAGUGGCGUCUCCAGUCUCCAUCAGCACUGAGAGCCACCCCCCAGCCCCGAAGCUUGGAGGACCAGGAAGCGGUCAUGGGAAGCCCCAGAACAAGGCGGCCUGGGAGGAACUGUGGCCCCCGGCUGCGGAGGGAGACAGACACGUUCCUUUGUGAAAAUGAGGGCUAGCACUGGCUCCCUAAAACUGGAAGGAAGCCAGCCAGGUCUGCUUAAGUCAGUGGCAAGGUCACGGAGGUGAGGCUCCUCAGGGCUCCUUGCUCCGGCCUUUCUCCCCAUCACCAAACCCUUGGGCUCAAUCCCUCACCCACCCAGGGCCUGGGAUGCCUUUCCUCCCGUCUGGAGCCAUCUCUGGCUUCUCCAGAACUUCACCUUCGGCAGGAAGCCCCCCUCCCCCCAGUCACCGUCUCCCCUGUCCCUCAACACCAUGUAGACAGACACGGAUAUCUCGUCUCCUUGAUUUGAAGGCGGGGACAUCAUUUUUGCCUUGUGCUCCCAGAAUUUGGCCCUCUCCUGGUACACAGUAAACAAUAAAUGUUCGUUGACUGAUUUUUUCUUCAUCUGCAUGAACUGAUUUCUAAGUUCUGACCUCCUUCUUCUGGCAAUGAUGUACGUUAAGUUUGCUUUGGAAGCAUCGUCGGCCGUGUGGAUGUCUGUUCUUUUAUCCAUUUCUCAUUGUAGGUGGGGAUUGUCUCAUUAACCCCUCCUACAGAAAUUAUACAGUUACAGUUAAGAGAACUGGAAUUUUAGAUAAUGACAGUUUAACGGUCCUUAGAAUAAUCGGUGGGAAGUCAGAGUUUAAAUGGCAU